ACGGGAGGCAGCAGUGGGGAAUAUUGCACAAUGGGGGAAACCUGAUGCAGCGACGCCGCGUGAGCGAAGAAGUAUUUCGGUAUGUAAAGCUCUAUCAGCAGGGAAGAAAAUGACGGUACCUGACUAAGAAGCCCCGGCUAACUACGUGCCAGCAGCCGCGGUAAUACGUAGGGGGCAAGCGUUAUCCGGAUUUACUGGGUGUAAAGGGAGCGUAGACGGAGCAGCAAGUCUGAUGUGAAAACCCGGGGCUCAACCCCGGGACUGCAUUGGAAACUGUUGAUCUGGAGUGCCGGAGAGGUAAGCGGAAUUCCUAGUGUAGCGGUGAAAUGCGUAGAUAUUAGGAGGAACACCAGUGGCGAAGGCGGCUUACUGGACGGUAACUGACGUUGAGGCUCGAAAGCGUGGGGAGCAAACAGGAUUAGAUACCCUGGUAGUCCACGCCGUAAACGAUGACUACUAGGUGUCGGGUGGCAAAGCCAUUCGGUGCC
RNAcentral lists this ribosomal RNA (488 nucleotides) under uncultured bacterium. RNAcentral describes it as "bacterial SSU rRNA". It matches the Rfam family "Bacterial small subunit ribosomal RNA", at positions 341 to 847 of the family's 1533-position model. The record is from RNAcentral.